GACGAACGCUGGCGGCGUGCCUAAUACAUGCAAGUUGAGCGCUGAAGGUUGGUACUUGUACCAACUGGAUGAGCAGCGAACGGGUGAGUAACGCGUGGGGAAUCUGCCUUUGAGCGGGGGACAACAUUUGGAAACGAAUGCUAAUACCGCAUAAAAACUUUAAACACAAGUUUUAAGUUUGAAAGAUGCAAUUGCAUCACUCAAAGAUGAUCCCGCGUUGUAUUAGCUAGUUGGUGAGGUAAAGGCUCACCAAGGCGAUGAUACAUAGCCGACCUGAGAGGGUGAUCGGCCACAUUGGGACUGAGACACGGCCCAAACUCCUACGGGAGGCAGCAGUAGGGAAUCUUCGGCUAUGGACGAAAGUCUGACCGAGCAACGCCGCGUGAGUGAAGAAGGUUUUCGGAUCGUAAAACUCUGUUGGUAGAGAAGAACGUUGGUGAGAGUGGAAAGCUCAUCAAGUGACGGUAACUACCCAGAAAGGGACGGCUAACUACGUG
Molecule: ribosomal RNA, 497 nt
Filed under: uncultured bacterium
Lineage: Bacteria
Description: partial 16S ribosomal RNA
Rfam family: Bacterial small subunit ribosomal RNA
Source: RNAcentral